Long non-coding RNA from Equus caballus (horse), 1961 nucleotides. Lineage: Eukaryota; Metazoa; Chordata; Mammalia; Perissodactyla; Equidae. The record is from Ensembl.
CGGGCCUGCUGGGAUACUCCAGGAUGACUGGGAAAGGCACGGGGCGGGGUCUCGCCGUCCGCAGAACGCCGGAAACGGAGUCCUUCCAGACGACUUCCGGUUCCGGUGUAGGCGGUGGUUGAGUUGCCAUGGCAGCGCGGUUGGCAGGAGCCUGGUUGUUGCAUCAGGGCGGUGGCCGGCCUGGAGCAGGCCUGGGCCUGGCUUUCCCAGCUUAGGCACUCGACUUAAUUCACUGCUAUACGAGCGUGGCAGGUGCACGAAUGGGUGGCAUGAGUGAUUCCGGAAGAGCAGGACUCAGUGAAACCACCAGAUCUGUAGUCUUGGAGCUGCGCUGGGUUGGUGGUACCCUAGAGCACACCAGACUUGCAGAAAAAGCAUACUGCAGAGGAAGCUGAGGCAUGACUGCUCAAGAGCCAGCAGUGCCAUGUGCAAUUUUCCUCUGAUAGUCACUGGGUACUGUUGCCACGGUGAUGAUGACUGUGCCGUGUCCUUAUCUAUCCGCCAACAGUAAGAGAAACCUUGCAGUCGAGAUAUUGUUUAACAGAUGGAGUGGUUUCUGUUGGACACUAAGUACUGCUACAAAUGACUUUUUAAAAAACCCUAUGUAUUUUAGAAAUGGUUUUAGAGGUGACCUGUUUAUGUUUUGGAGGUGCUCAGAAAAUUAAAAUCAGAAAACUAGUGCAUGUGCUGUCAGCAAAUGAGUGUUCCAAAUAAUCAGUCAUUCGGCCCGAAGCUUGAGGCUAGGAAACUGAAGAUAAACUCCAGAUGUUGCUCAGAAGUGCUCCUCGUGCGUAUUUAUUUCAUCCCCGUCAGCGUUAUUGAUGUUUGGUAGAUUUCUAAUGUGGGACCCAAAAUGGAUCAGCUUCCUAAAGAAUCCUUUUUUUCCCCAGGUUCCUUGAUUCCAGAUAAAUCAGAGGAACAAGCUUCAUGAACAAAAAUAUAUUGGGAAUGCUGUGGCACUGCAGCGUGACUGUUGUUUCGGAAGUCUAACAUCUGGCACGCUUAACAGCUGAGAAUAUAUUAUUUCCGAAAGCACCUAGCUUUUACUCAUGCUUAUAGUAUAGUAAGUUCUUUUUUUUUUUGUUUGAGGAAGAUUAGCCCUGAUCUAACAUCUGCUGCCAAUCCUGCUCUUUUUGCUGAGGAAGCCUGGCCCUGAGCUAACAUAUGUGCCCAUCUUCCUCUACUUUAUAUGCGGAUGCCGCCACAGCGUGGCUUGCCAAGCAGUGCCAUCUCCGCACCUGGGAUCCGAACUGACGAACCCCGGGCCACUGAAGCGGAAUGUGCGCACUUAACCGCUGUGCUGUGCCACUGGGCCGGCCCCCUAGGACCUCAGUGAUGGUUCGAGCAAAGGCAGGAAGACCAAUCAUGUAUCUGAACCGAAGAAACUGAAACAGUACAUCAAAAUUUAGAUAAAGCUUUAUUGAUUUGAUAAAAUUUCUCUUCCACCCACUCCUCCAAAAGCAAAUUCACGCUUGAAUCCAUAGUUACGAACCUCACACAUUGGAGAUCGUUUCUUCCUAUGUCUCAGCCCUAAACGAAGAGGCGGGGUCGCUGAAGCUAAGAGGGCGCUUUCCUUCCUGACUUCAGUCUCCAAGUCUGUGCUGCGUUCUGACAAAAGCACAUACUUUCUAUAACGCAAACUGUUAUUACACUCCAGCAACUUCUGAGAAGGUGCCCAGACCACAGAAGAUGAAAAGCUGGGAGCCAGUGCUGUUGUGUGUCAGACCUGUUAUGAAGAUUUAUCUGUUACCAGAAGUUUCUGUCCCCCUCUGAUAAUCACUGAGUUCGCGGCCAGAUGAACAUUUAGACCGUUUUAUUGUUUUCUUGUCAAUGAUUGCUAAGAUGUAUUGCCAAGGCCGUAAAUACUCUUUAUGAUGAGUCAGGAUUUCACUUCGUACUUCAAACUUUGAGCCUUAAUGACUUCAUGCCUUCAAAAUUAAAUCUUGCUGUCAUGGGAACCC